Molecule: ribosomal RNA, 1482 nt
Filed under: uncultured bacterium
Lineage: Bacteria
Description: bacterial SSU rRNA
Rfam family: Bacterial small subunit ribosomal RNA
Source: RNAcentral
AGAGUUUGAUCCUGGCUCAGGACGAACGCUGGCGGCAUGCCUAACCCAUGCAAGUCGAGCGGAGGGAGCCCUUCGGGGUGAACUAAGCGGCGGACGGGUGAGUAACGCGUGAACAACCAACCUUACACAGGGGGACAACAGCUGGAAACGGCUGCUAAUACCGCAUAAGACCACAGCGUCACAUGGCACAGGGGUCAAAGGAGAAAUCCGGUGUAAGACGGGUUCGCGUCCCAUUAGAUAGUUGGUGGGGUAACGGCCCACCAAGUCGACGAUGGGUAGCCGAGCUGAGAGGCUGAACGGCCACACUGGAACUGAGAAACGGUCCAGACUCCUACGGGAGGCAGCAGGGGGGAAUAUUGGGCAAUGGGGGAAACCCUGACCCAGCAAUGCCGCGUGAAGGAAGAAGGCCUUCGGGUUGUAAACUUCUGUGAUGGGGGACGAAGAAAGUGACGGUACCCCGUAAGAAAGCUCCGGCAAACUACGUGCCAGCAGCCGCGGUAAUACGUAGGGAGCAAGCGUUGUCCGGAAUUACUGGGCGUAAAGGGCGCGUAGGCGGCGGCACAAGUCUCAUGUGAAAGCCCCGGGCUUAACCCGGGAAGAGCAUGGGAAACUGUGUGGCUUGAGUGAGGUAGAGGAUCGUGGAAUUCCUAGUGUAGCGGUAAAAUGCAUAGAUAUUAGGAGGAACACCGGUGGCGAAGGCGACGAUCUGGGCCUUAACUGACGCUGAGGCGCGAAAGCGUGGGUAGCAAACAGGAUUAGAUACCCUGGUAGUCCACGCUGUAAACGAUGUAUGCUAGGUGUAGGGGGUAUCGACCCCCUCUGUGCCGCAGUAAACGCAAUAAGCAUACCGCCUGGGGAGUACGGCCGCAAGGUUGAAACUCAAAGGAAUUGACGGGUCCCGCACAAGCAGCGGAGCAUGUUGUUUAAUUCGACGCAACGCGAAAAACCUUACCAGGGCUUGACAUCCAACGAAUUCCCGUGAAAGCGGGGAGUGCUCCUUCGGGAGAGCGUUGAGACAGGUGGUGCAUGGUUGUCGUCAGCUCGUGUCGUGAGAUGUUGGGUUAAGUCCCACAACGAGCGCAACCCUUAUGGUUAGUUGCCAGCACGUAGUGGUGGGGACUCUAACAAGACCGCCGGGGAUAACCCGGAGGAAGGUGGGGACGACGUCAAAUCAUCAUGCUCCUUAUGUCCUGGGCUACAAACGUGCUACAAUGGCCGUAACAAAGAGAAGCGAGUCUGCAAAGGCAAGCGGAACUCUAAAAGCGGUCUCAGUUCGGAUUGUGGGCUGCAACCCGCCCACAUGAAGUUGGAGUUGCUAGUAAUCGCGAAUCAGCAUGUCGCGGUGAAUGCGUUCCCGGGGAUUGUACACACCGCCCGUCACACCAUGGGAGUUGGUAGCACCCGAAGCCGGUAAGCUAACCGCAAGGAGGCAGCCGUCUAAGGUGAGAUCAAUGACUGGGGUGAAGUCGUAACAAGGUAACC